This 848-nucleotide ribosomal RNA is filed under the name uncultured Owenweeksia sp. Its description in RNAcentral is "bacterial SSU rRNA". It matches the Rfam family "Bacterial small subunit ribosomal RNA", at positions 563 to 1416 of the family's 1533-position model. The record is from RNAcentral. Lineage: Bacteria; Pseudomonadati; Bacteroidota; Flavobacteriia; Flavobacteriales; Owenweeksiaceae.
AAGGGUCCGUAGGCGGGGAAAUAAGUNGUGGUGAAAUCCUGCAGCUCAACUGUAGAACUGCCAUUGAAACUGUUUUUCUUGAAUGUAGAUGAAGUGGGCGGAAAUGUGUCAUGUAGCGGUGAAAUGCAUAGAUAUGACACAGAACACCGAUUGCGAAGGCAGCUCACUAAACUAUUAUUGACGCUGAGGGACGAAAGUGUGGGGAGCGAACAGGAUUAGAUACCCUGGUAGUCCACACCGUAAACGAUGAUUACUCGGUGCUAGCAAUAUACUGUUAGUGCCUAAGCGAAAGCGAUAAGUAAUCCACCUGGGGAGUACGGUCGCAAGAUUGAAACUCAAAGGAAUUGACGGGGGCCCGCACAAGCGGUGGAGCAUGUGGUUUAAUUCGAUGAUACGCGAGGAACCUUACCUGGGCUUAAAUGUAUAUUGACAGGCUGGGAAACCAGUCCUUCUUCGGACAAUUUACAAGGUGCUGCAUGGUUGUCGUCAGCUCGUGCUGUGAGGUGUCGGGUUAAGUCCCAUAACGAGCGCAACCCCUAUCCUUAGUUGCCAGCGAGUAAUGUCGGGGACUCUAAGGAAACUGCCGGUGCAACCCGUGAGGAAGGUGGGGAUGACGUCAAAUCAUCACGGCCCUUACGUCCAGGGCUACACACGUGCUACAAUGGCGCAUACAAAGGGCAGCUACAUGGUGACAUGAUGCUAAUCUCUAAAGUGCGUCUCAGUUCGGAUCGAAGUCUGCAACUCGACUUCGUGAAGCUGGAAUCGCUAGUAAUCGGGUAUCAGCCAUGAUCCGGUGAAUACGUUCCCGGGCCUUGUACACNCCGCCCGUCAAGCCANGAAGCUGGGGG